RNAcentral lists this ribosomal RNA (517 nucleotides) under uncultured bacterium. RNAcentral describes it as "bacterial SSU rRNA". It matches the Rfam family "Bacterial small subunit ribosomal RNA", at positions 21 to 507 of the family's 1533-position model. The record is from RNAcentral.
GGCUCAGGAUGAACGCUGGCGGCAUGCCUAAGACAUGCAAGUCGAACGAGAAGGCCCAUAGAAGACGGAGUGCUUGCACAAAGUCGGAAAUGGAUUCCCUUCUAGUGGCAAACGGGUGAGUAACACGUGGGUUACCUACCUCUAAGACGGGGGACAACAGUUGGAAACGAUUGCUAAUACCGGAUGUGCUCUACGGAGUAAAGAAGCCCUUAAAGCUUCGCUUAGAGAUGGGCCUGCGGUGCAUUAGCUAGUUGGUGAGGUAACGGCCCACCAAGGCGAUGAUGCAUAGCCGGCCUGAGAGGGUGAACGGCCACAUUGGGACUGAGACACGGCCCAAACUCCUACGGGAGGCAGCAGUAGGGAAUUUUCGGCAAUGGGGGGAACCCUGACCGAGCAAUGCCGCGUGAGUGAAGACGGCCUUCGGGUUGUAAAGCUCUGUUGUAAGGGAAGAACGGUACGGAUAGGGAAUGAUCCGUAAGUGACGGUACCUUACCAGAAAGCCACGGCUAACUACGUG